UAUGGCCACAUCACGUUAAAAUACCGGUUCUCGUACGAUCACCGAAGUUAAGCAAUGUUGAGUAUGGUCAGUAUCUUGGUGGGUGAUCUCUUGGGAAUACCAGGUGCUGUAA
Molecule: non-coding RNA, 112 nt
Organism: Acanthosepion pharaonis
Lineage: Eukaryota; Metazoa; Mollusca; Cephalopoda; Sepiida; Sepiidae
Source: the annotation of a GenBank genome assembly